CCUACGGGUGGCAGCAGUGGGGAAUAUUGGACAAUGGAGGGAACCCUGAUCCAGCCAUGCCGCGUGUGUGAAGAAGGCCCUCGGGUUGUAAAGCACUUUCAGUGAGGAAGAACGCCUGGUGGUUAAUACCCAUCAGGAAAGACAUCACUCACAGAAGAAGCACCGGCUAACUCCGUGCCAGCAGCCGCGGUAAUACGGAGGGUGCGAGCGUUAAUCGGAAUUACUGGGCGUAAAGCGCGCGUAGGUGGCUUGAUAAGCCGGUUGUGAAAGCCCCGGGCUCAACCUGGGAACGGCAUCCGGAACUGUCAAGCUAGAGUGCAGGAGAGGAAGGUAGAAUUCCCGGUGUAGCGGUGAAAUGCGUAGAGAUCGGGAGGAAUACCAGUGGCGAAGGCGGCCUUCUGGACUGACACUGACACUGAGGUGCGAAAGCGUGGGUAGCAAACAGGAUUAGAUACCCUUGUAGUC
This 465-nucleotide ribosomal RNA is filed under the name Vreelandella stevensii. RNAcentral describes it as "partial 16S ribosomal RNA". It matches the Rfam family "Bacterial small subunit ribosomal RNA", at positions 338 to 795 of the family's 1533-position model. Lineage: Bacteria; Pseudomonadati; Pseudomonadota; Gammaproteobacteria; Oceanospirillales; Halomonadaceae. The record is from RNAcentral.